AAGAGAGAGACAGAGAAUGGCACCAUUCCCUAUAUAAUGCACUACUUUCUACCAGGGCCUCAUGUGCACUAUAUGGGGAAUACGGGUUCAUGGUAGGCAUCAAAACAAGCCAAUACAAAGUUAUAAAAUAGUGUACUAGUUCUAGGAAGAUGGAUAAAUGUAUCUGACCAGUAAUGUUACUGAAACAAGAUGAAGUAUCUAGAUCUAGAUCAGUGGUUAUCGCUGGGUACUGCAGGUGGUAUAUCUAGAUCAGUGGUUAUCGUUGGGUACUGCAGGUGGUAUAUCUAGAUCAGUGGUUAUCGUUGGGUACUGCAGGUGGUAUAUCUAGAUCAGUGGUUAUCGUUGGGUACUGCAGGUGGUAUAUCUAGAUCAGUGGUUAUCGCUGGGUACUGCAGGUGGUAUAUCUAGAUCAGUGGUUAUCGUUGGGUACUGCAGGUGGUAUAUCUAGAUCAGUGGUUAUCGUUGGGUACUGCAGGUGGUAUAUCUAGAUCAGUGGUUAUCGCUGGGUACUGCAGGUGGUAUAUCUAGAUCAGUGGUUAUCGUUGGGUAUUGCAGGUGGUAUAUCUAGAUCAGUGGUUAUCGUUGGGUAUUGCAGGUGGUAUAUCUAGAUCAGUGGUUAUCGCUGGGUACUGCAGGUGGUAUAUCUAGAUCAGUGGUUAUCGUUGGGUACUGCAGGUGGUAUAUCUAGAUCAGUGGUUAUCGUUGGGUACUGCAGGUGGUAUAUCUAGAUCAGUGGUUAUCGUUGGGUACUGCAGGUGGUAUAUCUAGAUCAGUAGUUGUCGUUGGGUACUGCAGGUGGUAUAUCUAGAUCAGUGGUUAUCGUUGGGUACUGCAGGUGGUAUAUCUAGAUCAGUGGUUAUCGUUGGGUAUUGCAGGUGGUAUAUCUAGAUCAGUGGUUAUCGUUGGGUACUGCAGGUGGUAUAUCUAGAUCAGUGGUUAUCGCUGGGUACUGCAGGUGGUAUAUCUAGAUCAGUGGUUAUCGUUGGGUACUGCAGGUGGUAUAUCUAGAUCCGUGGUUAUCGUUGGGUACUGCAGGUGGUAUAUCUAGAUCCGUGGUUAUCGUUGGGUACUGCAGGUGGUAUAUCUAGAUCAGUGGUUAUCGUUGGGUACUGCAGGUGGUAUAUCUAGAUCAGUGGUUAUCGUUGGGUACUGCAGGUGGUAUAUCUAGAUCGGUGGUUAUCGUUGGGUACUGCAGGUGGUAUAUCUAGAUCCGUGGUUAUCGCUGGGUACUGCAGGUGGUAUAUCUAGAUCCGUGGUUAUCGUUGGGUACUGCAGGUGGUAUAUCUAGAUCCGUGGUUAUCGUUGGGUACUGCAGGUGGUAUAUCUAGAUCCGUGGUUAUCGUUGGGUACUGCAGGUGGUAUAUCUAGAUCAGUGGUUAUCGCUGGGUACUGCAGGUGGUAUAUCUAGAUCAGUGGUUAUCGUUGGGUACUGCAGGUGGUAUAUCUAGAUCAGUGGUUAUCGCUGGGUACUGCAGGUGGUAUAUCUAGAUCAGUGGUUAUCGUUGGGUACUGCAGGUGGUAUAUCUAGAUCAGUGGUUAUCGCUGGGUACUGCAGGUGGUAUAUCUAGAUCAGUGGUUAUCGUUGGGUACUGCAGGUGGUAUAUCUAGAUCCGUGGUUAUCGUUGGGUACUGCAGGUGGUAUAUCUAGAUCCGUGGUUAUCGUUGGGUACUGCAGGUGGUAUAUCUAGAUCAGUGGUUAUCGCUGGGUACUGCAGGUGGUAUAUCUAGAUCAGUGGUUAUCGUUGGGUAUUGCAGGUGGUAUAUCUAGAUCAGUGGUUAUCGUUGGGUAUUGCAGGUGGUAUAUCUAGAUCAGUGGUUAUCGUUGGGUACUGCAGGUGGUAUAUCUAGAUCAGUGGUUAUCGCUGGGUACUGCAGGUGGUAUAUCUAGAUCAGUGGUUAUCGUUGGGUAUUGCAGGUGGUAUAUCUAGAUCAGUGGUUAUCGUUGGGUAUUGCAGGUGGUAUAUCUAGAUCAGUGGUUAUCGUUGGGUACUGCAGGUGGUAUAUCUAGAUCAGUGGUUAUCGUUGGGUAUUGCAGGUGGUAUAUCUAGAUCAGUGGUUAUCGUUGGGUAUUGCAGGUGGUAUAUCUAGAUCAGUGGUUAUCGUUGGGUAUUGCAGGUGGUAUAUCUAGAUCAGUGGUUAUCGUUGG
Long non-coding RNA from Oncorhynchus keta (chum salmon), 2146 nucleotides. RefSeq lists it as uncharacterized. The transcript has 6 exons. The record is from RefSeq and is a predicted model, not a curated record. Lineage: Eukaryota; Metazoa; Chordata; Actinopteri; Salmoniformes; Salmonidae.